GACGAACGCUGGCGGCGUGCUUAACACAUGCAAGUCGAGCGGUAAGGCCCUUUCGGGGGUACACGAGCGGCGAACGGGUGAGUAACACGUGGGUGACCUGCCCUCAGCUCUGGGAUAAGCCUGGGAAACCGGGUCUAAUACUGGAUAUGACUCCAUGACGCAUGUUGUGGGGUGGAAAGCCUUGUGCGGCUGAGGAUGGGCCCGCGGCCUAUCAGCUUGUUGGUGGGGUGANGGCCUACCAAGGCGACGACGGGUAGCCGGCCUGAGAGGGCGACCGGCCACACUGGGACUGAGACACGGCCCAGACUCCUACGGGAGGCAGCAGUGGGGAAUCUUGCGCAAUGGGCGAAAGCCUGACGCAGCGACGCCGCAUGAGGGAUGACGGCCUCGG
RNAcentral lists this ribosomal RNA (391 nucleotides) under uncultured bacterium. Its description in RNAcentral is "bacterial SSU rRNA". It matches the Rfam family "Bacterial small subunit ribosomal RNA", at positions 28 to 420 of the family's 1533-position model. The record is from RNAcentral.